GGAGUCGGAGUCGGAGGAGUCGUGGGUGUGGGCGCAGAUCAAGGCGGAGGCCCACCGGGACGCGGAGUCGGAGCCGGCGCUGGCGAGCUUCCUCUACGCCACGGUGCUCUCCCACAACUCCCUGGCCUUCUCCCUCUCCUUUCACCUCGCCAACAAACUCUGCUCCUCCACUCUCCUCUCCACCCUCCUCUACGACCUCUUCCUCCAGUCCUUUUCGUCCAAGCCCUCCCUUAUCUCCGCAGUCGUCGCCGACCUCCUCGCUGUUCGCCACCGCGACCCCGCCUGCGUCUCCUUCUCCCACUGCCUCCUCAACUACAAGGGCUUCCUCGCCGUCCAGGCUCACCGCGUGUCCCACCUCCUCUGGGCCCAGCACCGUCGCCCCCUCGCCCUCGCCCUCCAGUCCCGCACUGCCGACGUUUU
Molecule: long non-coding RNA, 420 nt
Filed under: Musa acuminata (dwarf banana)
Lineage: Eukaryota; Viridiplantae; Streptophyta; Magnoliopsida; Zingiberales; Musaceae
Description: long non-coding RNA (MACU_LNC000781)
Source: RNAcentral